Molecule: long non-coding RNA, 306 nt
Filed under: Trifolium pratense (red clover)
Lineage: Eukaryota; Viridiplantae; Streptophyta; Magnoliopsida; Fabales; Fabaceae
Description: long non-coding RNA (TPRA_LNC005367)
Source: RNAcentral
GUUAAGGAUACUAAUUAUAGUAAAAUUACAUUGAAACUUGUAUAGUCAAUGUUUGUAAAGUAUAAAAAGUGUCAUUUCCAAUACAAAAAUUACUUUUUUUGUAUCCUUAACUAGUGCCCCGGGGGUACUAGUUAGCAUGACCCUUAAUUUAAUUUAUGUAUUUAAAAAAAGAAAAUGCUAAACAGUGCCCCGGGCACUAGUUAAGGAUAUAAAUAUGAAAAUUUCAUCUCGUAAAUUGUGCAUUCAAUAUUUUAAUAUGUAAAAAGUUAUUCUCUCUCAUCAUUAACUUUUUCAUUUGUUUCUUUU